GACGAAGGUGGCGAGCGUUACUCGGAAUUACUAGGCGUGAAGCGUGGGCAGGUGGCCCGGUCAGUCUGUUGUGAAAGCUCCCGGCUUAACUGGGAGAGGCCAAUGGAUACUGCUGGGCUUGAAUGUGGGAGAGGUGACUGGAAUUCCUGGUGUAGCGGUGAAAUGCGUAGAUAUCAGGAGGAACAUCUAUGGCGAAGGCAGGUCACUGGACCACUAUUGACACUCAUCCACGAAAGCUAGGGGAUCAAACAGG
RNAcentral lists this ribosomal RNA (253 nucleotides) under uncultured bacterium. RNAcentral describes it as "partial 16S ribosomal RNA". It matches the Rfam family "Bacterial small subunit ribosomal RNA", at positions 524 to 776 of the family's 1533-position model. The record is from RNAcentral.